This 253-nucleotide ribosomal RNA is filed under the name uncultured bacterium. Its description in RNAcentral is "partial 16S ribosomal RNA". It matches the Rfam family "Bacterial small subunit ribosomal RNA", at positions 524 to 776 of the family's 1533-position model. The record is from RNAcentral.
UACAGAGGUCCCAAGCGUUGUUCGGAUUCACUGGGCGUAAAGAGCUCGUAGGUGGUUUGUCGCGUUGUUCGUGAAAUCUCACGGCUUAACUGUGAGCGUGCGGGCGAUACGGGCAGACUAGAGUACUGCAGGGGAGACUGGAAUUCCUGGUGUAGCGGUGGAAUGCGCAGAUAUCAGGAGGAACACCGGUGGCGAAGGCGGGUCUCUGGGCAGUAACUGACGCUGAGGAGCGAAAGCGUGGGGAGCGAACAGG